AGGACGAACGCUGGCGGCGUGCUUAACACAUGCAAGUCGAACGGUAAGGCCUCUUCGGAGGUACACGAGUGGCGAACGGGUGAGUAACACGUGAGCAACCUGCCCUUGACUCUGGAAUAACAGCUGGAAACAGCUGCUAAUACCGGAUACAACCUCUUGCGACAUCGCAUGGAGGUGGAAAGCUCCGGCGGUCAAGGAUGGGCUCGCGGCCUAUCAGCUAGUUGGUGGAGUAACGGCCCACCAAGGCGACG
RNAcentral lists this ribosomal RNA (251 nucleotides) under uncultured bacterium. Its description in RNAcentral is "partial small subunit ribosomal RNA". It matches the Rfam family "Bacterial small subunit ribosomal RNA", at positions 26 to 278 of the family's 1533-position model. The record is from RNAcentral.